GCCGUCACCUCGGGGUGCCCCAACGGGCUGAGAUGCGCGGCGACGCGCGAACCCGUCGAACCUGAACCGGUCAGCACCGGCGGAGGGAAGGUCGUGGGAGCCGCC
Regulatory RNA element from Wenxinia saemankumensis, 105 nucleotides. It matches the Rfam family "TPP riboswitch aptamer (THI element)". Rfam says of the family: Vitamin B(1) in its active form thiamin pyrophosphate (TPP) is an essential coenzyme that is synthesised by coupling of pyrimidine and thiazole moieties in bacteria. The previously detected thiamin-regulatory element, thi box was extended, resulting in a new, highly conserved RNA secondary structure, the THI element, which is widely distributed in eubacteria and also occurs in some archaea. The record is from Rfam. NCBI's taxonomy places the organism in Bacteria, Pseudomonadati, Pseudomonadota, Alphaproteobacteria, Rhodobacterales, Roseobacteraceae.